RNAcentral lists this ribosomal RNA (216 nucleotides) under Glomeromycotina sp. RNAcentral describes it as "partial small subunit ribosomal RNA". The stretch from base 40 to 216 matches the Rfam family "Eukaryotic small subunit ribosomal RNA", at positions 686 to 864 of the family's 1831-position model. Lineage: Eukaryota; Fungi; Glomeromycota. The record is from RNAcentral.
GGGUCAGUAGGUUGGUCGUGCCACCGGUACGUACUGGUCUCACUGAUUCCUCCUUCCUGAAGAACCGUAAUGUAAUUAAUUUGGUGUUGCGGGGAAACAGGACUGUUACUUUGAAAAUAUUAGAGUGUUUAAAGCAAGCUAACGCUUGAAUACAUUAGCAUGGAAUAAUGAAAUAGGACGAUCGAUCCUAUUUUGUUGGUUUCUAGGAUUGACGUA